UGGGGAAUAUUGCACAAUGGGCGCAAGCCUGAUGCAGCAACGCCGCGUGAACGAUGAAGGUCUUCGGAUCGUAAAGUUCUGUUGCAGGGGAAGAUAAUUACGGUACCCUGUGAGGAAGCCCCGGCUAACUACGUGCCAGCAGCCGCGGUAAUACGUAGGGGGCUAGCGUUAUCCGGAUUUACUGGGCGUAAAGGGUGCGUAGGUGGUCUUUCAAGUCGGUGGUUAAAGGCUACGGCUCAACCGUAGUUAGCCUCCGAAACUGGAAGACUUGAGUGCAGGAGAGGAAAGUGGAAUUCCCAGUGUAGCGGUGAAAUGCGUAGAUAUUGGGAGGAACACCAGUAGCGAAGGCGGCUUUCUGGACUGCAACUGACACUGAGGCACGAAAGCGUGGGUAGCAAACAGG
RNAcentral lists this ribosomal RNA (403 nucleotides) under Verrucomicrobiota bacterium. Its description in RNAcentral is "Verrucomicrobia bacterium partial 16S ribosomal RNA". It matches the Rfam family "Bacterial small subunit ribosomal RNA", at positions 355 to 776 of the family's 1533-position model. The record is from RNAcentral. Lineage: Bacteria; Pseudomonadati; Verrucomicrobiota.